AGCAUGGGUCGGGCUGCACGCCACAUUGGUGAUAUAAUGAUAUUGCGCUUGGGCUGAAGGAGCCCCUCCGGAGUCUGUACACACCCCCAGUGAGCGCCGUCGACGUUAAGCGGAUAGGGUUGCACGCCGUAGCAUAUUCAUGUGCAUUGCAUUGCAUAUUUAUCUGAUACUUGGUUGUUGUUGUGAUACUGUUUGUUGUUAGUUCGUAGCUAAAUUAUAGGAUUGUUAGUUAUAGCUUUGCCUUAUGGUAUUUUCGUGGAUUUCUUGCUUUCAGACAUUUUCUAUACUUAUUAUUCACUGAGUCAGUAGUACUCACCCCUACUCCCUGCACCUUGUGUGCAGAUUCUGGUACACCGGAGGCUAAGCUGAUUCUCGUAGUCUCCAGAGAAAUUCUAGAGUCGUUGAGGCAGCUGUAUGACGUCCGCAGGACCUUGCUGCUCUUCAUUAUUUUUCUCAGCUCAUUAUUAUAUACUUUCCCAGAUUUUUAUAUUGAUAUUCAGAUAUUACUAUUAUUACU
This 517-nucleotide long non-coding RNA is filed under the name Nicotiana benthamiana. Its description in RNAcentral is "long non-coding RNA (NBEN_LNC021791)". Lineage: Eukaryota; Viridiplantae; Streptophyta; Magnoliopsida; Solanales; Solanaceae. The record is from RNAcentral.